Non-coding RNA from Mycena latifolia, 97 nucleotides. The record is from the annotation of a GenBank genome assembly. NCBI's taxonomy places the organism in Eukaryota, Fungi, Basidiomycota, Agaricomycetes, Agaricales, Mycenaceae.
GCCUCCGUGGAUUAGCGGUAAAUCACCCUGGCUUUGUAGUCUGGUCAGAAGAUGAUGACAUUGCGGGGAGACGCGGGUUCGAGCCCCACCGGAGGCA